GGGGUCCCCGGGGGGGUCCCGGGGUGGGGCGAGUGCCCCACUCCCACCCCGUAGCCGUCGGGCACCAGCGGCCCCCGCAGCGGCCAGCAGGGCUCGCGGGAAUGCACCUGGGGGGGGAAAAAUAGUCAAAAAGGGAGAAUCGGCCCCAAAAUGGACCCCCCCACACACAGCAACCCCCCCACUGGCACUGAAUGGCCAGAAAGUGACCCCAAAUAGCCCCAAAGUGAUCCCAAAUAGCCCCAAAAUGACCCCAAAUAGCCCCAAACUGACCUCAAAUACCCAUAAACACCCCCAAAUAUCCAUAAACUGACCCUAAAUAGCCCCAAACUGACCCUAAAUAUCACCAAAAGGCCCCAAAUAUCAUUAAAAGGCCCCCAAUGUCACCAAAAGGCUCCCAAAUACCCAGAAAUUGACCCUAAAUAUCACUAAACUGGCCCCAAAUAUCCCCAAACUGACCCCAGGUUCCCCAAAUCCACCCCAAAUCCAAACACUGGGGCAUUUGGGGGCACGUUGCUGUUAUUUUGGGGCACUUUGGGCCACAUUUGUGUCAUUUUGGAUCACUUUGGGCCACAUUUGUGCUAUUUAGGGCCAAAUUUGUGUCAUUUUGUGUCACUUUGGGCCACAUUAGUGCUAUUUAGGCCACAUUUGUCCUAUUUAGGGCCAAAUUCCUGUCAUUUUGUGUCACUCUGGGCCACAUUUAUGCUAUUUAGAACCAAAUUCCUGUCAUUUUGUGUCACUUUGGGCCAUAUUAGUGGUAUUUAGGCCACAUUUGAGCUAUUUAGGUUCAAAUUCCUGCCAUUUCUUGUCACUUUGGGCCACAUUUCUGUCAUUUAGGUCCUAUUUUCUGUCAUUUUCUGCCACUUUGGGCCACAUUUGUGCUACUUAGGUCCAAAUUCCUGUCAUUUUGUGUCACUUUGGGCCACAUUUAUGCUAUUUAGAACCAAAUUCCUGUCAUUUC
This 958-nucleotide long non-coding RNA is filed under the name Anas zonorhyncha (Eastern spot-billed duck). RNAcentral's name for it is "lncRNA (ENSAZOG00000011435.1)". The record is from RNAcentral. Lineage: Eukaryota; Metazoa; Chordata; Aves; Anseriformes; Anatidae.